GAGGGCAUAGCUCAAUGGUAGAGUGUGUGCUUAGCAUGAACAAGGUGCUGGGUUCAAGCCCCCAGUACCUCCA
This 73-nucleotide transfer RNA is filed under the name Camelus ferus (Wild Bactrian camel). It matches the Rfam family "tRNA". Rfam says of the family: Transfer RNA (tRNA) molecules are approximately 80 nucleotides in length. Their secondary structure includes four short double-helical elements and three loops (D, anti-codon, and T loops). The record is from Rfam by way of RNAcentral. Lineage: Eukaryota; Metazoa; Chordata; Mammalia; Artiodactyla; Camelidae.